GAGUUUGAUCAUGGCUCAGGACGAACGCUGGCGGCGUGCUUAACACAUGCAAGUCGAGCGGUAAGGCCCUUUCGGGGGUACACGAGUGGCGAACGGGUGAGUAACACGUGGGUGAUCUGCCCUGCACUUUGGGAUAAGCCUGGGAAACUGGGUCUAAUACCGGAUAGGACUACGAAUCGCAUGGUUUGUGGUGGAAAGCUUUUGCGGUGUGGGAUGGGCCCGCGGCCUAUCAGCUUGUUGGUGGGGUGAUGGCCUACCAAGGCGACGACGGGUAGCCGGCCUGAGAGGGUGUCCGGCCACACUGGGACUGAGAUACGGCCCAGACUCCUACGGGAGGCAGCAGUGGGGAAUAUUGCACAAUGGGCGCAAGCCUGAUGCAGCGACGCCGCGUGGGGGAUGACGGCCUUCGGUUGUAACCC
Molecule: ribosomal RNA, 419 nt
Filed under: uncultured Actinomycetes bacterium
Lineage: Bacteria; Bacillati; Actinomycetota; Actinomycetes
Description: bacterial SSU rRNA
Rfam family: Bacterial small subunit ribosomal RNA
Source: RNAcentral